AUACGUAGGGGGCUAGCGUUAUCCGGAAUUACUGGGCGUAAAGGGUGCGUAGGUGGCCUGACAAGUCAGGGGUCAAAGGCAACGGCUCAACCGUUGUAAGCCCUUGAAACUGUCGGGCUUGAGUUCAGGAGAGGAAAGCGGAAUUCCUAGUGUAGCGGUGAAAUGCGUAGAUAUUAGGAGGAACACCAGUAGCGAAGGCGGCUUUCUGGACUGUAACUGACACUGAGGCACGAAAGCGUGGGGAGC
RNAcentral lists this ribosomal RNA (246 nucleotides) under uncultured bacterium. Its description in RNAcentral is "partial 16S ribosomal RNA". It matches the Rfam family "Bacterial small subunit ribosomal RNA", at positions 523 to 769 of the family's 1533-position model. The record is from RNAcentral.